Non-coding RNA from Bos taurus (domestic cattle), 73 nucleotides. The record is from Rfam. NCBI's taxonomy places the organism in Eukaryota, Metazoa, Chordata, Mammalia, Artiodactyla, Bovidae.
UCCCUGGCGGUCCAGUGGUGAAGAUGCCGCACUUUCAAUGCAGGGGGCACAGGUUCAAGCCCUGGCCUUGGAA